RNAcentral lists this ribosomal RNA (439 nucleotides) under uncultured bacterium. RNAcentral describes it as "partial 16S ribosomal RNA". It matches the Rfam family "Bacterial small subunit ribosomal RNA", at positions 338 to 795 of the family's 1533-position model. The record is from RNAcentral.
CCUACGGGAGGCAGCAGUGGGGGAUAUUGCACAAUGGAGGAAACUCUGAUGCAGCGACGCCGCGUGAGGGAAGACGGUCUUCGGAUUGUAAACCUCUGUCUUUGGGGAAGAAAAUGACGGUACCCAAAGAGGAAGCUCCGGCUGACUACGUCCCAGCAGCCGCGGUAAUACGUCGGGAGCGAGCGUUGUCCGGAAUUACUGGGGGUAAAGGGAGCGUAGGCGGGCGAGAAAGUUGAGUGGUAAAUCUACCGGCUUAAGUGGUAGCUGCGUUCAAAACCUCUUGUCUGGAGUGAAGUAGAGGAUAGUGGAAUUCCAAGUGUAGCAGUGAAAUGCGUAGAUAUUAGGAGGAACACCAGUGGCGAAGGCGACUAGCUGGGCUUUAACUGACGCUGAGGCUCGAAAGCGUGGGGAGCAAACAGGAUUAGAUACCCGAGUAGUC